Molecule: ribosomal RNA, 381 nt
Filed under: uncultured bacterium
Lineage: Bacteria
Description: bacterial SSU rRNA
Rfam family: Bacterial small subunit ribosomal RNA
Source: RNAcentral
GAACGCUGGCGGCGUGCUUAACACAUGCAAGUCGAGCGAUGAAACACCAUCGGGUGUGAAUUAGCGGCGAACGGGUGAGGAACACGUGAGAAAUCUGCCUUCAACACUGGGAUAACUCCGGGAAACCGGGGCUAAUACCGGAUAUGAAAUCUGCGGGCAUCCGCGGAUUUGGAAAGUUUUUCGGUUGAAGAUGAUCUCGCGGCCUAUCAGCUUGUUGGUGAGGUAAUGGCUCACCAAGGCGACGACGGGUAGCCGGCCUGAGAGGGCGACCGGCCACACUGGGACCGAGACACGGCCCAGACUCCUACGGGAGGCAGCAGUGGGGAAUAUUGGGCAAUGGAGGAAACUCUGACCCAGCGACGCCGCGUGCGGGAUGAAGGC